Molecule: unclassified non-coding RNA, 336 nt
Filed under: fungal sp.
Lineage: Eukaryota; Fungi
Description: partial internal transcribed spacer region
Rfam family: Eukaryotic small subunit ribosomal RNA (bases 1-46)
Source: RNAcentral
AAGUCGUAACAAGGUUUCCGUAGGUGAACCUGCGGAAGGAUCAUUAACACGUAUCCAACGUUAAACCCCCCGUGAACCUUCAUUGUGCUCCCCCAUUCCGUUAGGACGCGGCAAUCCCUGGUAAAUCAUCGCCGAACAGUUUUGAUUCAGGGACCUCUGCAUGGAGUGGGCAGCAGCGCGAGGCAAGUGGCCUGGCAUUCGAAAGAAUGGCGCAGUAACGAUCGCUAGAGGCCGACACGGCCGGCGACCGGGUCACUGGGCUCACGCCCCCCUAUCACCUUUGCAUGAAAACGCACCAAACUCGAACAACUGUUAACAAUGGAUAUCUUGGUUCUC